Molecule: long non-coding RNA, 968 nt
Filed under: Marmota monax (woodchuck)
Lineage: Eukaryota; Metazoa; Chordata; Mammalia; Rodentia; Sciuridae
Source: RNAcentral
UAACCACAGCCCUGCCUUCCUGUCUUUCACCUACAUACUUUUUCUUCUGUGUGUUGUAGAUUUUCCCUUUCCACAUGCUGGUUUGCAAAGCCAGACCUGGGAGAAGCAUGCACCAGAAAGACCACCUGGAUGAGAAGCUGCAAGAGUGGCAAGCCUGCAUUUUGGCCUGUGGAGGAUUGAAGGGGAAGGGAAUCUCUUGGUAUUCCCUUGCCUCUGGUUUUUCUUGAAAAUCAGCAGGGUCAAAGCAGGCUGUGAACCCAAGUACAAGAGCAGGCCCUAGAUAGGGAGAGCCUCAGGCAGUGUUAGUCACAGGCAAUUUUUUCUGAAAGUUCUUUCUCUGAUGAGCAAGACCCUUGGGGUGGGGGGAAUGCCUAUGAGUCUCAGUACUCACUGAGGCUUGCCCUUUUCCAGCACGUGGUUUUCUGACUUCAAGUCUUAGGCUUUAGUUAGCGAGCGAAGGUAAGUGUGUUUUCAGCUCAGCCUCUUCAACGUGGCAGAAAUAGAAAGAUUUUGCUCUAAGAGAAAAUUGCACUUGAAUGUUCUCAUUUGAAAGAACUAGAAAGUUUCUGACACAAGGCUUCUCUAGUAGUGAGGUCCAUCUUCCACACUUUUUCUUUUUCUUUUUCAGACAGAAUCAGGACAAUUGCCCAGGUUCUCCUGGGUCUCCUGAUGUCCAAGGAGACUUAGAUUCCCAAGUAGUCUGGCGUUCGCAGAGGGCACUUCUGUGCCACGGUUCUGAAGCACAGGGUAUUUUUUGUCUUUCCAGUAUAGACCAUUGAACCCAGGAUGCUCUGCCCCUGAGCUCCAUCCACAGCUCCUUCAUUUUGAGGCCAGGACUCUCUAAUUGCAGGGUGCGGCCUUCCAUUCGCAAUCCUGCCCUCCCAGGGUCUUCAGUGUCUGCAUGACCUGGAUCCUGGCCCAUAGCAUUUGGAAAGAACGUGAACUCUCCCCUCCCUGCGAUGAUGACC